RNAcentral lists this non-coding RNA (30 nucleotides) under Homo sapiens (human). The record is from RNAcentral. Lineage: Eukaryota; Metazoa; Chordata; Mammalia; Primates; Hominidae.
UCCUAAACUGGAGGUGUCUGGGAAGUCUCU